UUUUUGUAUUUAAUAUAAAGUCUAAUCUGCCCACUGAUAAUUUAUUAAAGGGCUGCAGUAUUUUGACUGUACAAAGGUAGCAUAAUCAUUUGUCUCUUAAUUGGUGACUAGUAUGAAAGAUUGGAUGAAAUAUAGACUGUCUCAUUAUAAUGAAUAAAAUUUAAUUUUUUAGUAAAAAAGCUAAAAUAGUUUUAAAAGACGAGAAGACCCUAUAGAGUUUAAUAAUUAUUUUUAUAUAGAAUAAAAUAUAAAAAUUUAAAUUUAAAUGAAAGUAAUUAUUUUGUUGGGGUGAUAGAAAAAUUAAAUUAACUUUUUUUAAAGAUAUACAUUAAUAAAUGAAUAAAUGAUCCAUUAAUAAUGAUUAUAAGAAAAAAUUACCUUAGGGAUAACAGCGUAAUUUUUUUUUUUAGGCCAAAUAAGAAAAAGAGUUUGCGACCUCGAUGUUGGAUUAAGAUAAAAUUUAAAUGUAAAAGUUUAAAAUUUUGAUCUGUUCGAUCAUUAAAA
This 504-nucleotide ribosomal RNA is filed under the name Troides helena antileuca. RNAcentral's name for it is "partial 16S ribosomal RNA". RNAcentral also lists the same sequence under 1 other name. Lineage: Eukaryota; Metazoa; Arthropoda; Insecta; Lepidoptera; Papilionidae. The record is from RNAcentral.